UAGGGCUUCACACGUCAUACGAUGGUCGGUACAGAGGGUUGCCAACCCGCGAGGGGGAGCUAAUCCCACAAAGCCGAUCGUAGUCCGGAUCGCAGUCUGCAACUCGACUGCGUGAAGUCGGAAUCGCUAGUAAUCGUGGAUCAGCAUGUCCACGGUCGAAUACGUUCCCGGGUCCUU
Molecule: ribosomal RNA, 177 nt
Filed under: uncultured Rhodocyclaceae bacterium
Lineage: Bacteria; Pseudomonadati; Pseudomonadota; Betaproteobacteria; Rhodocyclales; Rhodocyclaceae
Description: partial 16S ribosomal RNA
Rfam family: Bacterial small subunit ribosomal RNA
Source: RNAcentral